GUCGAGAAUCUUUCACAAUGGGGGCAACCCUGAUGGAGCGACGCCGCGUGGAGGAUAAGGUCUUCGGAUUGUAAACUCCUGUCAUGCGUGAACAAGGUUGCUUGGUUAAUACCUGGGCACAUUGAUGGUAACGCAAGAGGAAGAGACGGCUAACUCUGUGCCAGCAGCCGCGGUAAUACAGAGGUCUCAAGCGUUGUUCGGAAUCACUGGGCGUAAAGGGUGCGUAGGUGGCGUGGUAAGUCAGAUGUGAAAGCCCGGGGCUCAACCUCGGAACUGCAUCCGAUACUGCCAUGCUAGAGUACUGGAGAGGUGACUAGAAUUCUCGGUGUAGCAGUGAAAUGCGUAGAUAUCGAGAGGAAUACCAAAGGCGUAGGCAGGUCACUGGACAGUUACUGACACUGAGGCACGAAGGCCAGGGGAGCGAACGGGAUUAGAAACCCCGGUAGUCC
Molecule: ribosomal RNA, 449 nt
Filed under: uncultured bacterium
Lineage: Bacteria
Description: partial 16S ribosomal RNA
Rfam family: Bacterial small subunit ribosomal RNA
Source: RNAcentral